GAUGAACGCUGGCGGCGUGCCUAAUACAUGCAAGUCGAGCGAACGGACGAGAAGCUUGCUUCUCUGAUGUUAGCGGCGGACGGGUGAGUAACACGUGGAUAACCUACCUAUAAGACUGGGAUAACUUCGGGAAACCGGAGCUAAUACCGGACAAUAUUUUGAACCGCAUGGUUAAAAAGUGAAAGACGGUCUUGCUGUCACUUAUAGAUGGAUCCGCGCUGCAUUAGCUAGUUGGUAAGGUAACGGCUUACCAAGGCAACGAUGCAUAGCCGACCUGAGAGGGUGAUCGGCCACACUGGAACUGAGACACGGUCCAGACUCCUACGGGAGGCAGCAGUAGGGAAUCUUCCGCAAUGGGCGAAAGCCUGACGGAGCAACGCCGCGUGAGUGAUGAAGGUCUUCGGAUCGUAAAACUCUGUUAUUAGGGAAGAACAUAUGUGUAAGUAACUGUGCACAUCUUGACGGUACCUAAUCAGAAAGCCACGGCUAACUACGUG
RNAcentral lists this ribosomal RNA (497 nucleotides) under uncultured bacterium. Its description in RNAcentral is "partial 16S ribosomal RNA". It matches the Rfam family "Bacterial small subunit ribosomal RNA", at positions 28 to 507 of the family's 1533-position model. The record is from RNAcentral.